RNAcentral lists this ribosomal RNA (917 nucleotides) under uncultured Candidatus Poseidoniales archaeon. RNAcentral describes it as "bacterial SSU rRNA". It matches the Rfam family "Archaeal small subunit ribosomal RNA", at positions 1 to 923 of the family's 1478-position model. The record is from RNAcentral. Lineage: Archaea; Methanobacteriati; Thermoplasmatota; Candidatus Poseidoniia; Candidatus Poseidoniales.
UUCUGGUUGAUCCUGCCGGAGGCUACCGCUAUUGGAGUUCGAUUAAGCCAUGCGAGUCGAGAGUCUUAGGGACUCGGCGUACCGCUCAGUAACACGUGGGUAACCUGCCCUAUGCUGGGGAAUAACCUCGGGAAACUAAGAAUAAUGCCCCAUAGUCCACAAUGCCUGGAACGGUUUGUGGAUUAAAGCCCCGGCGGCAUAGGAUGGGCCUGCGGCGUAUCAGGUUGUAGGGGGUGUAACGUACCCCUCUAGCCAUCAACACGUACGGGUGUUGGGAGACAUAGCCCGGAGAUGGAUUCUGAGACACGAAUCCAGACCCUACGGGGUGCAGCAGGCGCGAAAACUUGGCAAUGCGAGAAAUCGUGACCAGGGAACUCCAAGUGGCUGGGGUAAGACCCAGUCUUUUCUUGACUCUUCAAAGGUCUUGGAAUAAGAGGUGGGUAAGGACGGUGCCAGCCGCCGCGGUAAUACCGGCGCCUCAAGUGGUAGUCGAUUUUAUUGGGCCUAAAACGUCCGUAGCCUGUUUGGUACAUUCGUGGGUAAAUCAACCAGCUCAACUGGUUGAAUUCUGCGAGCACGGCCAGACUUGGGACCGGGAGAGGUGUGGGGUACGCUCAGGGUAGGGGUAAAAUCCUGUCAUCCUGAGCGGACCACCUGUUGCGAAGGCGCCACACUAGAACGGAUCCGACGGUCAGGGACGAAGCCUAGGGGCACGAACCGGAUUAGAUACCCGGGUAGUCCUAGGUGUAAACGCUGUGGACUUGGUGUUGGGGAUUCUCCGAGGAUCUUCAGUGCCGAAGCGAAGGUGAUAAGUCCACUGCCUGGGGAGUACGGUCGCAAGGCUGAAACUUAAAGGAAUUGGCGGGGGAGCACCGCAACCUGAGGAUUGUGCGGUUUAAUUGGACUCAACGCCGGGA